AGACGUAGGGGGCGAGCGUUGUCCGGAAUUACUGGGCGUAAAGAGCACGUAGGCGGAUAUUUAAGUCAGGUGUGAAAGACCGCAGCUCAACUGCGGGGUUGCACUUGAAACUGAAUAUCUUGAGGGCAGGAGAGGUCAGUGGAAUUCCUGGUGUAGCGGUGAAAUGCGUAGAAAUCAGGAGGAACACCAGUGGCGAAGGCGACUGACUGGACUGACCCUGACGCUGAGGUGCGAAAGCGUGGGUAGCAAACAGGAUUAGAUACCCUGGUAGUCCACGCCGUAAACGAUGGAUACUAGGUGUGGGAGGUAUCGACCCCUUCCGUGCCGCAGCUAACGCAAUAAGUAUCCCGCCUGGGGAGUACGGUCGCAAGGCUGAA
Molecule: ribosomal RNA, 377 nt
Filed under: uncultured bacterium
Lineage: Bacteria
Description: bacterial SSU rRNA
Rfam family: Bacterial small subunit ribosomal RNA
Source: RNAcentral